Molecule: long non-coding RNA, 246 nt
Organism: Symsagittifera roscoffensis
Lineage: Eukaryota; Metazoa; Xenacoelomorpha; Acoela; Convolutidae
Exons: 3
Source: RefSeq, a predicted model, not a curated record
CAAGCAACUUGGAAAGUCUAAUACAAUCUCAAGGAUCGGACUUCUGACAAAAGCUUUUGUUGCCAUUCUGAUCUCCUGGUUUCUUCUGGUCCAGCCUCAUGUCUUGUAUGUAAACUUCUGCCUGGAGGAUUUUGACCAGAAGAUGGAGAUGUCCAGCUACAUGGCCAGGGGAACAAGCGACAUGGCUUUAGCCGUGAAACACGGAACUGCAACUAGACGACCAGUUGUUCCAUCAACUGGACCGAC